Molecule: long non-coding RNA, 240 nt
Filed under: Lathyrus oleraceus (garden pea)
Lineage: Eukaryota; Viridiplantae; Streptophyta; Magnoliopsida; Fabales; Fabaceae
Description: Pisum sativum (pea) long non-coding RNA (PSAT_LNC041408)
Source: RNAcentral
UGAGAUUUAAUGUGAGAGGUUCAGAUUCUGCUUCAGGUUCAGAUCUUUGGGGUGAAGCGUAAAGAGGGUUUAAGUCUAAAGGUUCAGUUUCAGUUUCUGAUUCAGGUGCAGCAGAGGUGUUUGGUGGGUUGAUAUCAGAGGUGGGAAGGUCAGAGGGUUGGUCUUCAGAAGGUUGGUUUUCAGAAGGUUGGUUUUCAGAAGGGAUGGUGGUUGUUUGUUGUGGUGGUGAAGUUAUUUCAG